RNAcentral lists this ribosomal RNA (789 nucleotides) under uncultured Methanomicrobiaceae archaeon. RNAcentral describes it as "SSU rRNA". It matches the Rfam family "Archaeal small subunit ribosomal RNA", at positions 85 to 879 of the family's 1478-position model. Lineage: Archaea; Methanobacteriati; Methanobacteriota; Methanomicrobia; Methanomicrobiales; Methanomicrobiaceae. The record is from RNAcentral.
ACGGCUCAGUAACACGUGGAUAACCUGCCCUGCGGUGGGAAAUAACCCCGGGAAACUGGGGAUAAUGUCCCAUAGGCUACGGAUGCUGGAAUGCUCUGUAGCUCAAAGAUUUAUCGCCACAGGAUGGGUCUGCGGCCGAUUAGGUAGUUGUUGGGGUAACGGCCCAACAAGCCUUUGAUCGGUACGGGUUGUGGGAGCAAGAGCCCGGAGAUGGAUUCUGAGACACGAAUCCAGGCCCUACGGGGCGCAGCAGGCGCGAAAACUUUACAAUGCGGGAAACCGUGAUAAGGGAACUCCGAGUGUCCGUAAAUGCGGACUGUCCGUAUGUUUAAAAAGCAUGCGAAGAAAGGGCCGGGCAAGACCGGUGCCAGCCGCCGCGGUAAUACCGGCGGCUCGAGUGGUGGCCACUAUUACUGGGCUUAAAGCGUUCGUAGCUGGGUCGUUAAGUCUCUUGGGAAAUCUACCGGCUUAACCGAUAGGCGUCCAAGGGAUACUGGCGAUCUAGGGACCGGGAGAGGUGAGGGGUACUUCAGGGGUAGGAGUGAAAUCCUGUAAUCCUUGGGGGACCACCUGUGGCGAAGGCGCCUCACCAGAACGGCUCCGACAGUGAGGGACGAAAGCUGGGGGAGCAAACCGGAUUAGGUACCCGGGUAGUCCCAGCCGUAAACGAUGCGCGUUAGGUGUAUCGAUGACCACGAGUCAUCGAGGUGCCGAAGGGAAACCGUGAAACGCGCCGCCUGGGAAGUACGGUCGCAAGGCUGAAACUUAAAGGAAUUGGCGGGGGAGCAC